This is a long non-coding RNA of Leucoraja erinaceus (little skate), 408 nucleotides long. RefSeq lists it as uncharacterized. The record is from RefSeq and is a predicted model, not a curated record. The transcript is spliced from 2 exons. NCBI's taxonomy places the organism in Eukaryota, Metazoa, Chordata, Chondrichthyes, Rajiformes, Rajidae.
CAUGCGCGCAUUCUGGAGAGACAGCAGUCUGGACAUGAUUUACUGAAAGUGUCACAGAAACAAGUGGCAAAUACUAAUCUACAUUAUUCUGAUGUACAUUGGAGUAUGAUGCCAGUGAGCCCAAUGAGAGCAAAGGGAGCACGGACACAUGGGAACUGCACACUCUGUAUGUAAGAAGAGACACACUGGGAAAUGAGGUCCCAGCGAGUGGAAUUGGAGCAGGCAAACAUCACCUGGUGAUCUAGAUGGCAAACCAUCCAGAUUUCCAAAGAAUUGGAUGGCAGAAUAUCAGAAUUUUAUUUAUAUCAUGUCAUUUUUGGUAAUUGCAAAUAAGUAACGUGUGCAUCACCACUGUGUUUCAAUGUUCAUAAUUGUUUAAUCAUAACUUCAUAAUAAAGUUGAGGAAGA